UGAGCCAUUAGCUCAGCUGGUAGAGCAUCUGACUUUUAAUCAGUAGGUUGGGGGUUCAAGUCCUCUGGCCGGC
Molecule: transfer RNA, 73 nt
Filed under: Staphylococcus aureus
Lineage: Bacteria; Bacillati; Bacillota; Bacilli; Caryophanales; Staphylococcaceae
Description: tRNA-Lys
Rfam family: tRNA (bases 9-66)
About the family: Transfer RNA (tRNA) molecules are approximately 80 nucleotides in length.
Source: RNAcentral